GUGCAACUAAGUUGCUCCAAAGCUGUGUCUGACACUUCUUUACUUUUACCUAGAGUUGUUCCGAUUCCGAAACCAUAUCGUGAGCAAUGGACAUACGACAAUUCUUUAAAAGAAAAAAGACAGAUUCAGAAUCUGUAAAUGGUCUCAUGGUCUCAUUUUUGUGACAUGACAAACUGACCUCAACUCUCCUGCCUACAAUAUAUUUGUGUAUGAUUGUCAGUGCCAAGGGAAAGAGAGGGAGAUGGAGAAAGAGAAAGGGAAAGGGAAAGCAUGCAGGAAGAACCAGUUAUUGCAACUGCUGUCUGGACUGUCAAUGCUCCUUGGCCAGUGGUCUGUUCAUCGGGACUAUUGGAUUUUUUGCUCUGGAUUAUUAUCUAGUUUUGUGGAUCUCUUUGAAUCUGCCUGGAUUAUCAUCUUUAAUGACCAUCGCCUGUUUCUGACUACCGCU
Molecule: long non-coding RNA, 448 nt
Organism: Cyprinus carpio carpio
Lineage: Eukaryota; Metazoa; Chordata; Actinopteri; Cypriniformes; Cyprinidae
Source: Ensembl